Molecule: ribosomal RNA, 405 nt
Filed under: uncultured bacterium
Lineage: Bacteria
Description: bacterial SSU rRNA
Rfam family: Bacterial small subunit ribosomal RNA
Source: RNAcentral
UUGGGAAUCUUGCACAAUGGGCGAAAGCCUGAUGCAGCGACGCCGCGUGGAGGACGAAGUCUCUCGGGAUGUAAACUCCUUUUGCCAGGAACGAUAAUGACGGUACCUGGUGAAUAAGCCCCGGCUAACUACGUGCCAGCAGCCGCGGUAAGACGUAGGGGGCGAGCGUUGUCCGGAUUUACUGGGCGUAAAGAGCGCGUAGGCGGCCUAUUAAGUCAGGUGUGAAAUCUCCAGGGCUCAACCCGGAAACUGCACUUGAUACUGGUAGGCUGGAGUGUCGGAGAGGUGAUUGGAAUUCCUGGUGUAGCGGUGACAUGCAUUGAUAUCAGGAGGAACACCCAUGGCGAAGGCAGAUCACUGGCCGACAACUGACGCUGAGGCGCGAAAGCGUGGGUAGCAAACAGA